GUGUCAGCCGCCGCGGUAAUACGUAGGUGGCGAGCGUUAUCCGGAAUUACUGGGCGUAAAGCGCGUGCAGGCGGUUCGGCAAGUCGGACGUGAAAGCUCCUGGCUUAACUGGGAGAGGUCGUACGAAACUACCGGGCUUGAGGUUGGGAGAGGGACGUGGAAUUCCCGGUGUAGUGGUGGAAUGCGUAGAUAUCGGGAGGAACACCAGUGGCGAAGGCGGCGUCCUGGCCCACACCUGACGCUGAGACGCGAAAGCGUGGGUAGCGAACGGGAUUAGAUACCCGUGUAGUCC
This 292-nucleotide ribosomal RNA is filed under the name uncultured bacterium. RNAcentral describes it as "partial 16S ribosomal RNA". It matches the Rfam family "Bacterial small subunit ribosomal RNA", at positions 505 to 796 of the family's 1533-position model. The record is from RNAcentral.